GUGGGGAAUAUUGCGCAAUGGGCGAAAGCCUGACGCAGCCAUACCGCGUGUGUGAAGAAGGCUCUAGGGUCGUAAAGCACUUUAAGCAGGGAGGAAGGCCUAAAAGUUAAUACCUUUUAGGAUUGACGUUACCUGCAGAAUAAGCACCGGCUAACUCCGUGCCAGCAGCCGCGGUAAUACGGAGGGUGCAAGCGUUAAUCGGAAUUACUGGGCGUAAAGCGCGCGUAGGCGGUUUGUUAAGCGAGAUGUGAAAGCCCUGGGCUCAACCUGGGAACUGCAUUUCGAACUGGCAGGCUAGAGUACAAGAGAGGGUGGUAGAAUUUCCUGUGUAGCGGUGAAAUGCGUAGAUAUAGGAAGGAAUACCAGUGGCGAAGGCGGCCACCUGGCUUGAUACUGACGCUGAGGUGCGAAAGCGUGGGGAGCGAACAGG
RNAcentral lists this ribosomal RNA (430 nucleotides) under uncultured bacterium. Its description in RNAcentral is "bacterial SSU rRNA". It matches the Rfam family "Bacterial small subunit ribosomal RNA", at positions 354 to 776 of the family's 1533-position model. The record is from RNAcentral.